UUCUGCCUGACCAGCUGUGAGAUCAUGAGCCGGCCACUCCGUCUCUUUGAGCCUCCGUUUCUCAUCUGAAAACAGGAGAAGACAGAAAGUCUCAGCCAGUGGAUGAAAGCAGCAGUUUUCACAGCGACCACUGAAGUCUCGUUCAGAGGAAAGCAUCCCAUGGCAAAAGAAGUGUCUAACACAGUUCCCACAUCUGGACGCGCAUAAAGUUCACCCAAGGAUAUAGGAAACGACAAGAAAAACAAAGAACUUUUCUGAGUUCAAACCCAGAAAGCCACAUAGGGUCUUCUGUCCUGGAGGAGACCCAAGUAAGAAAUCCCAGCAUGCUCAUGCAAGUAGCACAGCACCCUUUCAGAAAAGGUGACCGCGCUGUGUCACCCAACUGGGACCUCUUCCAAAGGACACUUGGAUUGCACGCCAGAACUUCAGGCCAGACAGGGGCAGUCGAAACAAAUGAGGACACACAGUCACUGUACUUGUAAAAGCUCUUACUGGGAGGCUGAAAAGUCAGCACUCUUCGGCGAUGUCCAAAAGCAAGAUAGGAACAAACCAUAUUGAGAAAUAAAAACUUAAGCAGUAAAACUCAGCUGGAAAAAAAAAUCCAUCCAAGUAAAGUAGCCAGGAAGAUUUAAAGUCAGUUGAUUGCCAAACUUAAUAGGGGAGUGAGGAAAUAGAAGAAAGGACAGGAGAAAAAAGCAGACCCGGUUGGAUCAAAUCUGUCUCAAACACCCAGCACUGAUAAAACAAGUGGCAACAUAAAACCUCAGGGAGAGCUUGUAGCAGACCAGCUAAGACCAACUAAAAUGGCUCUCCAAGAAAACACAUCUUGAAGCGGGGGCAAAAUCUAAAUGGAAAUCAGAUGACUUAGGAGAACAAAAGCUGGCAGAUGAGUCAUAAAAAUACCCUUGACAAAAGAAAGUAACAGAAAAACAGAGAAGCA
Molecule: long non-coding RNA, 940 nt
Organism: Fukomys damarensis (Damara mole-rat)
Lineage: Eukaryota; Metazoa; Chordata; Mammalia; Rodentia; Bathyergidae
Exons: 4
Source: RefSeq, a predicted model, not a curated record